This 596-nucleotide small RNA is filed under the name Pongo abelii (Sumatran orangutan). RNAcentral describes it as "processed transcript". Lineage: Eukaryota; Metazoa; Chordata; Mammalia; Primates; Hominidae. The record is from RNAcentral.
GGAGAGAAAGACGCACGCUUCCCGCCAUUUUGUUGAGCUCGCCGCGCAACCGGCCCCUGCUGGGGACUACAAGUCCCGUGAGCCUCCGCGGCAGCACGUCCUACCCAACACUGUCCAGCCCGCUCCCUUUUUCCCCCUCCCCGGGGGCCGAGGGCUCCGGCUGCUGCCUGGCGGCCAACGGACCAGGUAGGAUUUCCGGGAGAGGCUGCUGUGGAGGCUGAGGAGGCGGCGGCGGAGACCUGGAAACAAUAUCUCACCUCCCUAAACUGGUUAAUAGUGGCAUGGAAGAUCCAUUUGAGAUGGGGUUUUACCAUGUUACCCAGGCUGGUCUUGAACUCCUGGACUCAAGCGACCCCCGCUUGGCCUCCCAAAGUGCUGGGAUUAGAGGCGUGAGCCACUGCACCCGACCUAAGACUUCUCCAGAGAACCUUGGAACAGUAGAGGAAGCAGACCAGCCCGCUACAGAGCCAGGCAUGGUCAUGGACAGUGUGGAAGCAGGAGACACAACACCUCCUACCAAAAGGAAGAGCAAGUUCUCAGGCUUUGGCAAGAUCUUCAAGCCAUGGAAAUGGAGGAAAAAAAAGAGUAGUGAUAAA